This 564-nucleotide ribosomal RNA is filed under the name Sardinella longiceps (Indian oil sardine). RNAcentral's name for it is "partial 16S ribosomal RNA". It matches the Rfam family "Bacterial large subunit ribosomal RNA", at positions 1847 to 2607 of the family's 2925-position model. Lineage: Eukaryota; Metazoa; Chordata; Actinopteri; Clupeiformes; Clupeidae. The record is from RNAcentral.
AGGAGGUCCCGCCUGCCCUGUGACCAAAAGUUUAACGGCCGCGGUAUUUUAACCGUGCAAAGGUAGCGCAAUCAAUUGUCUUUUAAAUGAAGACCUGUAUGAAUGGCAUAACGAGGGUUUAACUGUCUCUUUUUUCAGGUCAAUGAAACUGAUCUGUCCGUGCAGAAGCGGACAUAUUAACACAAGACGAGAAGACCCUAUGGAGCUUUAGACGCCCACCAACCGCGAAAAGCAGCCUACCUUAACAGAUGCUCUAAACAACGCGGUCCUGGUACAAACGUCUUCGGUUGGGGCGACCGCGGAGAAGAACAAAGCCUCCGAGAGGAAUGGGAACAAACCCUAAAACCAAGAGCCACAGCUCUAAGUCACAAAAAAUUUGACCGACAAUGAUCCGGCUUACUGCCGAUCAACGGACCAAGUUACCCUAGGGAUAACAGCGCAAUCCCCUCCCAGAGUCCAUAUCGACGAGGGGGUUUACGACCUCGAUGUUGGAUCAGGACAUCCUAAUGGUGCAGCCGCUAUUAAGGGUUCGUUUGUUCAACGAUUAAAGUCCUACGUGAUCUG